Molecule: ribosomal RNA, 462 nt
Filed under: uncultured bacterium
Lineage: Bacteria
Description: SSU rRNA
Rfam family: Bacterial small subunit ribosomal RNA
Source: RNAcentral
AGGAUAAACGCUGGCGGCGUGCCUAACACAUGCAAGUCGAACGCUCUCGAGCAAUCGAGGGAGUGGCGGACAGGUGAGUAACACGUGGGUACCUACCCCAAGGUGAGGAAUACCGGCGAGAAAUCGCCGACAAUACCGCAUAGGUUUGCGAAAGCAAACAAAGCUCGGGCAACCGGGCGCCAUGGGAAGGGCCUGCGGCCGAUUAGCUGGUUGGUGAGGUAAAAGCUCACCAAGGCGACGAUCGGUAGCUGGUCUGAGAGGAUGAUCAGCCACACUGGGAUUGAGAACGGCCCAGACUCCUACGGGGGGCAGCAGUGAGGAAUUUUCGUCAAUGGGGGCAACCCGUGAACGAGCAACGCCGCGUGCAGGAAGAAGGUUUUCGGAUCGUAAACUGCUUUUCUCUGGGACGAGAACGGACGGUACCAGAGGAAUCAGCCCGGCUAACUACGCGCCAGCAGCCGC